Molecule: transfer RNA, 69 nt
Filed under: bovine gut metagenome
Rfam family: tRNA
About the family: Transfer RNA (tRNA) molecules are approximately 80 nucleotides in length. Their secondary structure includes four short double-helical elements and three loops (D, anti-codon, and T loops).
Source: RNAcentral
CGAUUUAGCUCAGGGGUAGAGCAACUCUCUCGUAAAGAGUAGGUCGAAGGUUCAAAUCCUUUAAUCGGC